GAGCCCCAACCAGCUGUGGGUGUUGGGGUCACACACAUCACCCUGUUCCUGAACCAGAAAACGCACAGCUUGUCCAGAUUCCAGACAUCGAGUGGGAGGAAAGUGGCCUCUCUUGCCAGAACCAUUCGACCAUUGUCGUUCCUAACACUGACUGUCCGUUGACUGAGGAACAAAUGGCAGGCUUACAGGAAGUGGUUAAUCCAAGAGCUGCAUCCCAGUCCUUUGGCUCCGACAUCUACAUUGCAGCUGUUCAGUUUUGUGAGCAGUUCUUAUAGAGCUACAUAAACCCAACUGCAAAUGUUAAUGUAAUGUGAAUUUAUGUUGCCAAAAAGUUUGCUUGCAAUGUUGGGAUUACAGAACUGAAAAUUUGCAAGUUUACAUCUAAAAUUUUAAUGUAAAAGUAAAACUGAAGGUGGGAACAUGUUUAUAAUUAAAUAAAUGAACAAAGUAA
Molecule: long non-coding RNA, 451 nt
Organism: Austrofundulus limnaeus
Lineage: Eukaryota; Metazoa; Chordata; Actinopteri; Cyprinodontiformes; Rivulidae
Exons: 2
Source: RefSeq, a predicted model, not a curated record